Molecule: long non-coding RNA, 4427 nt
Filed under: Sus scrofa (pig)
Lineage: Eukaryota; Metazoa; Chordata; Mammalia; Artiodactyla; Suidae
Description: lncRNA (ENSSSCG00035047618.1)
Source: RNAcentral
UUUUUUUUUUUUUUUUUUUUUUUGCCAUUUCUAGGGCUGCUCCCAUGGCAUAUGGAGAUUCCCAGGCUAGGCGUCUAAUCGGAGCUGUAGCCGCUGUAGCCCUCCAAUCAGACCCGUAGCUGCCAAGCCUACACCAAAGCCACAGCAACAUGGGAUCCGAGCCACGUCUGCAACAUACACCACAGCUCACGGCAACGCUGGAUCCUUAACCCACUGAGCAAGGCCAGGGAUCGAACCUGCAACCUCAUGGUUCCUAGUCGGAUUCCUUAACCCCUGAGCCAAGACGGGAACUCCUGAUUAUUUGCUUAAAAUGUGGUCCUUGAGAUUGACUUGCUGGGUUGGAACCUGCCCGUUUGUGAUGCUUUGGCCCAAUGUUCUCCAGGAGGAUUGUACAAUGUCACAAAUCUACUAGCAGCAUAAGACAGUGCUAAUCCCCCAACUGAUACGAAGAUAGGGUAUCACUAUGUGCUUCCUCUUUAUCCACCUUGGAUGGGAGGUGGUAUUUAUGUUUCUAUUGUCUUUGAGAGAAUAACAAGUUGCUUUGAGGCAGCAACUCCCAAACAGUCACAUGAAAGAUGCUUCAUAAGUACUUUACAAAUGAUGGACGGAUCGGGGGAGAACAAGUGACAUUACACGGGACGCCUUCUGGACUUGAGUCAGACUGGCUGGGUUCAAACUCUGGUUCCAGACUUCCUAUCGUGGCUAGCAUCCAUGAGGACGUGGGUUCGAUCCCUGGUCUCGCUCAGUGAGUUAAAGAUCUGGCGUUGCUGUGAGCUGUGGCGUAGGUCACAGAUGCAGCUCAGAUCCUUCGUCGUUGUGGCUGUGGGGUAGACCAGCAGCUACAGCUCUGAUUCAACCCCUAACCUGGGAACUUCCAUAUGCCGCAGGUGUGGCCCUCAAAAGACAAAAAACAAAACAAAACAACAAAACCAACUCUGAUUCCGCUACCUAAGGUUAGUGCAAUCACAGACAAGCCACGUACUUGAUUGUUUCAGUUCACGCAAUUGUGACUUGGAGACUGAAUUUCCUACAUCAUGUGAUUAUUGUGAUAUAAAUGAGAUGCUGUGCCUUAAAACAAGGCUAAAAGCAUUGAAAAAGCAAUGUAUACGGUAAAGUGCUCAAAUAGCACAGCAGGUUCUAUUUAUAAAAAGACCCCUUCUCACCCACCCUGACUGCACUCCCAUCCCAGGAGUAACACAGUUUAACUUUGCCUCCUUCUGGAGAUUCUUCUCCUUGCUGGCAAGAAACAAAGUUAUCAAUAAAACCAGAUUCGUGAAAUACUCAGAUGUUGAAAGAUUCUAGAGGAGGGAGUUCCAGUAGUGGCUCAGUGGAAACAAAUCUGAAUAGCAUCCAUGAGGACACAGGUUCGAUCCCUGGCCUCGAUCAGUGGGUUAAGAAUCUGGUGAUGCCGUGAGAUGUGGUGUAGGUUGCAGAUUCGGCUGGUGUCUAGCAGCGCUGUGGCUGUGGUGUAGGCUGGUGGCUACAGCUCCGAUUUGACCCCUAGCCUAGGAACUUCCAUAUGCCACAGGUGCAUAUUUAGGUAUAGCCCUGAGAAACAGACAAACAACAAAAAAAGUGCAUCGUUCUACACAUGGUGAAUGCAAACCUGCUUUUUUCCCACUGGCUACACCAUGAACAGCUGCAUGUGUCAAUAAACAGGGCUGCACGGUGUCCCUUUUGGGGCUUCCUGGGAUGUGAGCACAUCUCUGUGUAGCAAAUUUCACCAGCCCUCUUUUUUAUUUAUUUAUUUAUUUUUUUGUCUUUUUUCCACUUCUUGGGCCGCUUCCACGGCAUAUGGAGGUUCCCAGGCUAGGGGUCGAAUCGGAGCUGUAGCUGCCUGCCUUCGCCAGAGCCACAGCAACGCGGGAUCGGAGCCACGUCUACGACCUACACCACAGCUCACGGCAACGCUGGAUCCUUAACCCACUGAGCAAGGCCAGGGACCAAACCCACAACCUCAUGGUUCCUAGUCGGAUUCGUUAACCACUGCGCCGUGACAGGAACUCCUCACCAGCCCUCUUUGGGUGAUGCUCAGGUUGCUGCCAUUGACCUGCAAUUACAUCACAGCCACAAUGAGAGUCCUACUCAAUUAUUUGCUUUGGAGAGGUUCUCAGAUGUCAGUUGCCAGGUAAAGGGCCUGCGUGCUCUUCAAGGCUCCUACACAGGUUGUCAAACUGCUUCUCCGAGGGCAUCUCCUAAGUGCUGCUGGUUUACGGCAGGCUGGAGGUUCUCGCUCCUCACCAGCCCAGACAUCAGGGGCUCGUUCGCCCUCUGCCAAUUUGAUGCUGAGCUGGUUUCUCUCCUCCUCUUACACGUCUCGCCUUUCACAAUGCUGCGGAAGAGAGUACGUGCUCCCGUCUGCGUUCUCCAAACCUCGGCAGCUGACCAUCAUCCCUCCUGGCUAGAAGUCAGCCAGGCCAGCCUGCGGCAUAAAGACUCUAAAUCCCAGCUUGCCCUGCAGACACGUGGGGCAAAUGAGGCUGCACCAGGGGAUGCUGGGAUUUCCCUCCUGCUGUGGCCUGGGUCACUGAGGCUGGCAGGUGUGGAGGUGGGCAGGUGAGGCUGAGUCACUGGGACACUGGGUGUGGUUUCCUGGAUCAGCUCCAGAGUUGACACGAAGGUUCCAGUAACGGGUGGCUGAACUGGGCUAAUUGCUGCUGGUGCUGCCCUAGCCCAGCCCUGCACGUAGCAAAAAAGAGGAGGAGGGAGGGGGAAGGGAGGAGGGGGAGGAGGGAGGAGAGGAGAUCACUGGGAAGCACCCAUGAAACCAGCUCUGAUGGAAACCAACCCCCCGGCGUGUUUCUCACCCUGCACCCUGAGGCCAUUAGGAUUGCAGGCACUUGGGCAGCUGGACAUGUGCGGGGCUCCGUGCCUCUCAGAGCAGAGUCAGCUGUGGGGCUGAGGAAAGAAGGUCAGGACACCAGGGUUGGAACCCUGGUCUCCUGCACUUACAGGCCCUGAAAUGUGGCUGGUUCCUAACCCUCUGCAGCCUGUUUCCGUUGUGAGGGGUCCAGCCCUCCUCACAGACCUGCCAGGGGGUUGACGUGCCUUUGUCUCGGGAUUUCUUGGGCUCUGUGGUUCGGGGGUGGCCUCUCCCCUCUGCGCCCCUGCACUAGCCCGGGGCUGGGCCUACAGCAGACCCUCAGUGGGCACUAACUUGACAGCUGCCUGGUCCCUAGUGGGCACUUCUUCAGGAGUCCACAUAGCUCAGGUUCUGCACCGCAGGCUGUGUAGUUUGGAGCAGGUUGCCUCCCGCCUCUGAGCCUCUGAGCCUCAGUUUCUUCAUCUGGGUUUGUUGGCCUGGAUCUGGCACUCUGUUCUGCAGCUGCAGUAGAGGUUAUGCCGCUGGGGCUCACUGGGAACAGGCGCCAGGCAGGGGCGGCCUCCAAGCCCAGCCCCACACUCCAGGGGGCACGGGUGCCCUUGAUGUGUCUCGGGUUAAGAUCUUGAGGUGAGAAAGUGUGAUGCUUUCUUUUCUUUUUUUUUUUUUUUUUAGUCUUUUUGCAAUUUCUUGGGCCACUCUUGUGGCAUAUGGAGUUCCCAGGCUAGGGGUCUAAUUGGAGCUGUAGCCACCGGCCUACACCAGAGCCAUGGCAACACCGGAUCCUUAACCCACUGAGCAAGGCCAGGGAUCGAACUCACAACCUCAGGGUUCCUAGUUGGAUUCGUUAACCACUGCGCCACAACGGGAACUCCGAAAGUGUGGUGCUUUUUAGCAAGAACUGGGGGCACUGGUGCCAUCCAAGGCCCUCAUGGUGAGCGUGGCCAACCGGGUUUGCACACUCACGCGUGACCCCCAUCACCUGUUUACUGUCUGGCAGCCCCACCCAGUGAGCCAUCAGUUUGCAGGUAGUGGGGUGCAGAGCUUGCUGUCAGAGCAGUAGGUGGGGGCAGGCACAGAUGUUUCCACAUGGGAGUGGAGCACAUCCUGCCUCUGGGCCACAGAACUAGGGUUCGGAGGUGACCGUGCGGCUGUGUGGGGACACACGAUUCGGCCUCUGCAGCCUGGGGUCCAGCGAAAGAGCUGGUUCAACACAGCCCCACCUGGUUUUUAACAGAAGCCACCACCACGCCAUUAUUAUGUGAACAUUUUUCUGAUUUUAAGAAUUUGGCAGAGGGCAUUCCCGUCGUGGCGCAGGGGAAGCAAAUCCAACUAGGAACCAUGAGGUUGCGGGUUUGAUCCCUGGCCUCACUCAGUGGGUUAGGGAUCCGGCGUUGCCGUGAGCUGUGGUGUAAGUCCCUGACGCGGCUCAGAUCCUGUGUUGCUGUGGCUGUGGUGUAGGCCAGCAGCUGUAGCUCCGCUUGGACCCCUAGCCUGGGAACCUCCAAGUGCCAUGGGUGUGGCCCUAAAAAGACAAAAGACAAAAAAAUAAAAUAAAAAGAAGAAGUAGUUGGCAGAGUUCCCAUUAUGGCCCAGGAACUGACUG